This 253-nucleotide ribosomal RNA is filed under the name uncultured bacterium. Its description in RNAcentral is "partial 16S ribosomal RNA". It matches the Rfam family "Bacterial small subunit ribosomal RNA", at positions 524 to 776 of the family's 1533-position model. The record is from RNAcentral.
UACGUAGGUGGCAAGCGUUGUCCGGAAUUAUUGGGCGUAAAGCGCGCGCAGGCGGCUUGGUAAGUCUGAUGUGAAAGCCCACGGCUCAACCGUGGAGGGUCAUUGGAAACUGCUAAGCUUGAGUGCAGAAGAGGAGAGUGGAAUUCCACGUGUAGCGGUGAAAUGCGUAGAGAUGUGGAGGAACACCAGUGGCGAAGGCGACUCUCUGGUCUGUAACUGACGCUGAGGCGCGAAAGCGUGGGGAGCAAACAGG